CCUACGGGAGGCUGCAGUGAGGAAUAUUGGUCAAUGGGCGGAAGCCUGAACCAGCCAAGUAGCGUGCGGGAUGAAGGCCCUACGGGGCGUAAACCGCUUUUGCACGGGGAUAACACCCUCCACUUGUGUAGGUCUGCAGGUACCGUGCGAAUAAGGGCCGGUCAAUUCCGUGCCAACAGCAGCGGUAAUACGGAGGGCCCGAGCGUUACCCGGAUUUAUUGGCCUUAAAGGGAGCGUAGGCGGGCUUUCAAGUCCACUGUAAAAGCUCGCGUCUCAACCGCGCCCCGCAGUUGAAACUUGACGCCUUGAGUUCACCACAGGCAGGCGGAAUUCGUGGUGUAGCGGUGA
RNAcentral lists this ribosomal RNA (348 nucleotides) under uncultured bacterium. RNAcentral describes it as "partial 16S ribosomal RNA". It matches the Rfam family "Bacterial small subunit ribosomal RNA", at positions 338 to 684 of the family's 1533-position model. The record is from RNAcentral.